This 99-nucleotide signal recognition particle RNA is filed under the name Nitrospirota bacterium. RNAcentral describes it as "Nitrospirae bacterium (volcano metagenome) signal recognition particle sRNA small type". It matches the Rfam family "Bacterial small signal recognition particle RNA". Rfam says of the family: The signal recognition particle (SRP) is a universally conserved ribonucleoprotein involved in the co-translational targeting of proteins to membranes. Archaeal SRP consists of a 7S RNA and homologues of the eukaryotic SRP19 and SRP54 proteins. In most bacteria, the SRP consists of a 4.5S RNA and the Ffh protein (a homologue of the eukaryotic SRP54 protein). Lineage: Bacteria; Pseudomonadati; Nitrospirota. RNAcentral also lists the same sequence under 1 other name. The record is from RNAcentral.
GAAACGGCCCUGCGCAGCAGGUGGAUGUGAACCCCGUCAGGUCCGGAAGGAAGCAGCGGUAAGCGUUUCAACCUGAGUGCCGGAGGUAGUCGUUUCCGG